RNAcentral lists this ribosomal RNA (2171 nucleotides) under Escherichia albertii. Its description in RNAcentral is "bacterial LSU rRNA". It matches the Rfam family "Bacterial large subunit ribosomal RNA", at positions 1 to 2190 of the family's 2925-position model. Lineage: Bacteria; Pseudomonadati; Pseudomonadota; Gammaproteobacteria; Enterobacterales; Enterobacteriaceae. The record is from RNAcentral.
GGGUUGUGAGGUUAAGCGACUAAGCGUACACGGUGGAUGCCCUGGCAGUCAGAGGCGAUGAAGGACGUGCUAAUCUGCGAAAAGCGUCGGUAAGGUGAUAUGAACCGUUAUAACCGGCGAUGUCCGAAUGGGGAAACCCAGUGUGAUUCGUCACACUAUCAUUAACUGAAUCCAUAGGUUAAUGAGGCGAACCGGGGGAACUGAAACAUCUAAGUACCCCGAGGAAAAGAAAUCAACCGAGAUUCCCCCAGUAGCGGCGAGCGAACGGGGAGGAGCCCAGAGCCUGAAUCAGUGUGUGUGUUAGUGGAAGCGUCUGGAAAGGCGCGCGAUACAGGGUGACAGCCCCGUACACAAAAAUGCACAUGCUGUGAGCUCGAUGAGUAGGGCGGGACACGUGGUAUCCUGUCUGAAUAUGGGGGGACCAUCCUCCAAGGCUAAAUACUCCUGACUGACCGAUAGUGAACCAGUACCGUGAGGGAAAGGCGAAAAGAACCCCGGCGAGGGGAGUGAAAAAGAACCUGAAACCGUGUACGUACAAGCAGUGGGAGCCUCUUUAUGGGGUGACUGCGUACCUUUUGUAUAAUGGGUCAGCGACUUAUAUUCUGUAGCAAGGUUAACCGAAUAGGGGAGCCGGAGGGAAACCGAGUCUUAACUGGGCGUUAAGUUGCAGGGUAUAGACCCGAAACCCGGUGAUCUAGCCAUGGGCAGGUUGAAGGUUGGGUAACACUAACUGGAGGACCGAACCGACUAAUGUUGAAAAAUUAGCGGAUGACUUGUGGCUGGGGGUGAAAGGCCAAUCAAACCGGGAGAUAGCUGGUUCUCCCCGAAAGCUAUUUAGGUAGCGCCUCGUGAAUUCAUCUCCGGGGGUAGAGCACUGUUUCGGCAAGGGGGUCAUCCCGACUUACCAACCCGAUGCAAACUGCGAAUACCGGAGAAUGUUAUCACGGGAGACACACGGCGGGUGCUAACGUCCGUCGUGAAGAGGGAAACAACCCAGACCGCCAGCUAAGGUCCCAAAGUCAUGGUUAAGUGGGAAACGAUGUGGGAAGGCCCAGACAGCCAGGAUGUUGGCUUAGAAGCAGCCAUCAUUUAAAGAAAGCGUAAUAGCUCACUGGUCGAGUCGGCCUGCGCGGAAGAUGUAACGGGGCUAAACCAUGCACCGAAGCUGCGGCAGCGACACUGUGUGUUGUUGGGUAGGGGAGCGUUCUGUAAGCCUGUGAAGGUGUGCUGUGAGGCAUGCUGGAGGUAUCAGAAGUGCGAAUGCUGACAUAAGUAACGAUAAAGCGGGUGAAAAGCCCGCUCGCCGGAAGACCAAGGGUUCCUGUCCAACGUUAAUCGGGGCAGGGUGAGUCGACCCCUAAGGCGAGGCCGAAAGGCGUAGUCGAUGGGAAACAGGUUAAUAUUCCUGUACUUGGUGUUACUGCGAAGGGGGGACGGAGAAGGCUAUGUUGGCCGGGCGACGGUUGUCCCGGUUUAAGCGUGUAGGCUGGUUUUCCAGGCAAAUCCGGAGAAUCAAGGCUGAGGCGUGAUGACGAGGCACUACGGUGCUGAAGCAACAAAUGCCCUGCUUCCAGGAAAAGCCUCUAAGCAUCAGGUAACAUCAAAUCGUACCCCAAACCGACACAGGUGGUCAGGUAGAGAAUACCAAGGCGCUUGAGAGAACUCGGGUGAAGGAACUAGGCAAAAUGGUGCCGUAACUUCGGGAGAAGGCACGCUGAUAUGUAGGUGAAGCGACUUGCUCGUGGAGCUGAAAUCAGUCGAAGAUACCAGCUGGCUGCAACUGUUUAUUAAAAACACAGCACUGUGCAAACACGAAAGUGGACGUAUACGGUGUGACGCCUGCCCGGUGCCGGAAGGUUAAUUGAUGGGGUCAGCGCAAGCGAAGCUCUUGAUCGAAGCCCCGGUAAACGGCGGCCGUAACUAUAACGGUCCUAAGGUAGCGAAAUUCCUUGUCGGGUAAGUUCCGACCUGCACGAAUGGCGUAAUGAUGGCCAGGCUGUCUCCACCCGAGACUCAGUGAAAUUGAACUCGCUGUGAAGAUGCAGUGUACCCGCGGCAAGACGGAAAGACCCCGUGAACCUUUACUAUAGCUUGACACUGAACAUUGAGCCUUGAUGUGUAGGAUAGGUGGGAGGCUUUGAAGUGUGGACGCCAGUCUGCAUGGAGCCGAC